Non-coding RNA from Peromyscus maniculatus bairdii (prairie deer mouse), 309 nucleotides. The record is from RefSeq and is a predicted model, not a curated record. NCBI's taxonomy places the organism in Eukaryota, Metazoa, Chordata, Mammalia, Rodentia, Cricetidae.
CAGAAAUGCUGCUCUGUUUACCCAUGUUGCCCUUAUUUAAAAACAAAACAAAAGGGCCACUCCACCCUCGGCCCUUCAGCGUCAUGGCACCGGGGAAGGACAGGCGCUGCUAGGCAGACACUCCAUACGACAGUGGGGGUGUUGCUCCAAGUAACACAGUAAGAAGUGAACAAAGCUUCUUGGGAAACUCUCCCCUAAAGGAGCUGGGGCAGAGUUGGUGGAUUACUACACUGUCCCAGCCCGACCUCUGCUACAAUGCCUGGCAGCCCCAGGAAGUCAAUAAAGCUCUGUCAGUGGACCAAUGACCGG